Micropterus dolomieu (smallmouth bass) is the source of this 875-nucleotide long non-coding RNA. RefSeq lists it as uncharacterized. The record is from RefSeq and is a predicted model, not a curated record. The transcript has 3 exons. NCBI's taxonomy places the organism in Eukaryota, Metazoa, Chordata, Actinopteri, Centrarchiformes, Centrarchidae.
CCCGUGCAACAGGCCAAAAGCAGGCUGUCGACAAGCAAGGGAAGUGUGAGAGACAAGAGAAUCCAGAGCCAUGGGUGCAUGCAAAAACGUGAGCUCAUACCAACAAUAUACAUCACAAUGUCAGUUUUCAAUAUCGUGCAGCCCCACGCCAGAGGAAGCCUCCUACCAAAGAUGUACCUAUGUAUUUCUGCCACCGUCUCACCCUCAGGGUGCGCUUUUACCAGCGGUGGCAGUGUUGUGUCCUGCCACAGGGCACCUUUAAAGCAAGACACUGUGGACAGACUAAUCUUUCUGGCAAAAAAUGAAGUGGACUAGCUAAAAUUUGUAGCAUAUUAACAUUUUUUUUACUUACCUACUGUAAAACCAGUAGAUAAUUAAUAUUCAAUUAAUUUUAGUUUACAGUUUACUACUGAAAAAUGUCUGUGCUUUUGUGAUCCAUUUGUUUACUUUUUGUUGGUCUUGGUUGUACCUCCUCAAACAUUUGAGAUGUUUACUGUCCUGCCAAAGGAAUUUGAAUAUAGUAAACACAGCUUUUGGUUUUUAUUUACAAAUUACAUAUUUAAAGGGGCCAUAGAAUGGAAAACUGUAUUUUCCCUUGGAAUAGUUGAAUAAAAAGAGUUCAGUGUAUGUAACUGAUACUGUGAGCCUCAAUCUCCAUUGUUUCCUCCUUCAUAAGUAAAUCUUGCACACCCAAAAUACCCCUGAAAAACCGGCGAAUGCCAGCAAGCGCCAGAUGUUGCAUAACAUCUGGGAUGUUUCAGAAAAAACAAGUGAAUAAUGUUGUGUUUUUGUACAGUAGCCAGUGAGGCCUAGUCUUGCAUAGUAGGUCUUGAUUUAGCUCCCCACCCCUCUUCUGUGCUCGGGUAAGUUGUCCA